RNAcentral lists this ribosomal RNA (64 nucleotides) under Salsola tragus (prickly Russian thistle). Its description in RNAcentral is "partial 28S ribosomal RNA". The record is from RNAcentral. Lineage: Eukaryota; Viridiplantae; Streptophyta; Magnoliopsida; Caryophyllales; Amaranthaceae.
CAGUGCGUGACCAAAGUGGACUCGUAGGACCCUGUGUUGUUUCCUUUUGGAGACAAACCGUUGC